AGAGUUUGAUCCUGGCUCAGAUUGAACGCUGGCGGCAGGCCUAACACAUGCAAGUCGAGCGGUAACAGAUCCAGCUUGCUGGAUGCUGACGAGCGGCGGACGGGUGAGUAAUGCAUAGGAAUCUGCCCGAUAGUGGGGGAUAACCUGGGGAAACCCAGGCUAAUACCGCAUACGUCCUACGGGAGAAAGGGGGCUCCGGCUCCCGCUAUGGGAUGAGCCUAUGUCGGAUUAGCUAGUUGGUGAGGUAACGGCUCACCAAGGCCGCGAUCCGUAGCUGGUCUGAGAGGAUGAUCAGCCACAUCGGGACUGAGACACGGCCCGAACUCCUACGGGAGGCAGCAGUGGGGAAUAUUGGACAAUGGGGGCAACCCUGAUCCAGCCAUGCCGCGUGUGUGAAGAAGGCCCUCGGGUUGUAAAGCACUUUCAGCGAGGAAGAACGCCUAGCGGUUAAUACCCGCUAGGAAAGACAUCACUCGCAGAAGAAGCACCGGCUAACUCCGUGCCAGCAGCCGCGGUAAUACGGAGGGUGCGAGCGUUAAUCGGAAUUACUGGGCGUAAAGCGCGCGUAGGUGGCUUGAUAAGCCGGUUGUGAAAGCCCCGGGCUCAACCUGGGAACGGCAUCCGGAACUGUCAAGCUAGAGUGCAGGAGAGGAAGGUAGAAUUCCCGGUGUAGCGGUGAAAUGCGUAGAGAUCGGGAGGAAUACCAGUGGCGAAAGCGGCCUUCUGGACUGACACUGACACUGAGGUGCGAAAGCGUGGGUAGCAAACAGGAUUAGAUACCCUGGUAGUCCACGCCGUAAACGAUGUCGACCAGCCGUUGGGUGCCUAGCGCACUUUG
This 838-nucleotide ribosomal RNA is filed under the name uncultured Halomonas sp. RNAcentral's name for it is "bacterial SSU rRNA". It matches the Rfam family "Bacterial small subunit ribosomal RNA", at positions 8 to 843 of the family's 1533-position model. Lineage: Bacteria; Pseudomonadati; Pseudomonadota; Gammaproteobacteria; Oceanospirillales; Halomonadaceae. The record is from RNAcentral.